Molecule: ribosomal RNA, 475 nt
Filed under: uncultured organism
Description: partial 16S ribosomal RNA
Rfam family: Bacterial small subunit ribosomal RNA
Source: RNAcentral
CGUACACUCCUGCGGGAGGCAGCAGUGGGGAAUAUUGCACAAUGGGCGCAAGCCUGAUGCAGCCAUGCCGCGUGUAUGAAGAAGGCCUUCGGGUUGUAAAGUACUUUCAGCGGGGAGGAAGGCAAUACGGUUAAUAACCGUGUUGAUUGACGUUACCCGCAGAAGAAGCACCGGCUAACUCCGUGCCAGCAGCCGCGGUAAUACGGAGGGUGCAAGCGUUAAUCGGAAUUACUGGGCGUAAAGCGCACGCAGGCGGUCUGUCAAGUCGGAUGUGAAAUCCCCGGGCUCAACCUGGGAACUGCAUGCGAAACUGGCAGGCUGGAGUCUUGAAGAGGGGGGUAGAAUUCCAGGUGUAGCGGUGAAAUGCGUAGAGAUCUGGAGGAAUACCGGUGGCGAAGGCGGCCCCCUGGACAAAGACUGACGCUCAGGUGCGAAAGCGUGGGGAGCAAACAGGAUUAGAUACCCCAGUAGUCCC